Molecule: ribosomal RNA, 253 nt
Filed under: uncultured bacterium
Lineage: Bacteria
Description: partial 16S ribosomal RNA
Rfam family: Bacterial small subunit ribosomal RNA
Source: RNAcentral
GACGAACCGUGCGAACGUUGUUCGGAAUCACUGGGCUUAAAGGGCGCGUAGGCGGGCCGGACGGUCCGGGGUGAAAUCCCCCCGCUCAACGGGGGAACGGCCCCGGACACCGCCGGCCUCGAGGGGGGUAGGGGCGAGCGGAACGCUGGGUGGAGCGGUGAAAUGCGUUGAUAUCGACCGGAACUCCGGUGGCGAAGGCGAGGUGCUGGACCCUUUCUGACGCUGAGGCGCGAAAGCCAGGGGAGCAAACGGG